Molecule: small nucleolar RNA, 71 nt
Organism: Misgurnus anguillicaudatus (oriental weatherfish)
Lineage: Eukaryota; Metazoa; Chordata; Actinopteri; Cypriniformes; Cobitidae
Product: small nucleolar RNA SNORD58
Source: RefSeq, a predicted model, not a curated record
GUACAAUGAUGACAAUCUUAGGACACCUUUGGAGGUAUUGACCAAUGAAACUAAACCAUAUACUGAGUACC